UUGAGUUAAGGGGCCGUGUUCAUUUCACGGAAUUCUGUGAGACCAGGUUAAAUAUGUAGUCGUAGCCAGGAAAACAUACAUGCUGUUCAGAAAAUGAAAUUACUGCUGGUCAGCCUUCAAUGUGGAGAGAAGAUCAGAAUAUAACAACACAGCUAUCAGGGCAUGAGGAGGAGGCAGGAGGAAACAGCUUGGCUGUGAAUAGACC
Sander lucioperca (pikeperch) is the source of this 205-nucleotide long non-coding RNA. RefSeq lists it as uncharacterized. The record is from RefSeq and is a predicted model, not a curated record. NCBI's taxonomy places the organism in Eukaryota, Metazoa, Chordata, Actinopteri, Perciformes, Percidae. The transcript has 3 exons.